UACGGAGGGUGCAAGCGUUAAUCGGAAUUACUGGGCGUAAAGGGUAUGUAGGUGGUUGGAUAAGUUAUCUGUGAAAGCCCUGGGCUCAACCUAGGAAGGUCAGAUAAUACUGUUCAACUCGAGUAUGGGAGAGGGUAGUGGAAUUUCCGGUGUAGCGGUGAAAUGCGUAGAGAUCGGAAGGAACACCAGUGGCGAAGGCGGCUACCUGGCCUAAUACUGACACUGAAAUACGAAAGCGUGGGGAGCAAACAGG
This 253-nucleotide ribosomal RNA is filed under the name uncultured bacterium. RNAcentral's name for it is "partial 16S ribosomal RNA". It matches the Rfam family "Bacterial small subunit ribosomal RNA", at positions 524 to 776 of the family's 1533-position model. The record is from RNAcentral.